AUGGACCUUAUCCCCGUCGCCGGCCGCACCCUGAAAACCAACAUCACCGCCAUUGCACCAAUCGUGCUCCCAAUCUCCGAGCAACUUUUCUUUGCAAUGUCUUUCGUGGCACAAAAACUAUCCAGCGGGCGUGUUAGGUUGUACGUCCCCAACUUCCUCACGGCUUUUGAGCAUUGCUGCAUACACGCUGGUGGGUCUGCGGUUAUCGACGAGGUUCAACGCAGUCUUGGCCUGUCAGACAAGCAUGUUGAGCCAUCAAGAAUGACGCUGCACCGCUUCGGAAACAUAUCCAGCAGUUCAGUUUGGUAUGAGCUAGCAUAUACCGAGGCCAAGGGUCGUAUGCAUGAGGGUGAUCGCAUAUGGAUGAUCGGGUUUGGCUCCGGCUUCAAAUGCAACAGUGCGGUGUGGGAGUGCAUCGUCCCAGCCCCCAAUAGCAAUGGACCAUGGGCUGGGUGCAUCCACCGCUAUCCAGUGCAUAUUAAGUCUCCAAAAGCAAGGCCGCGGCAAUAA
This 510-nucleotide ribosomal RNA is filed under the name Triticum aestivum (bread wheat). Its description in RNAcentral is "partial small subunit ribosomal RNA". Lineage: Eukaryota; Viridiplantae; Streptophyta; Magnoliopsida; Poales; Poaceae. The record is from RNAcentral.